RNAcentral lists this small nuclear RNA (367 nucleotides) under Erinaceus europaeus (western European hedgehog). Its description in RNAcentral is "7SK RNA (ENSEEUG00000021733.1)". The stretch from base 1 to 315 matches the Rfam family "7SK RNA". Rfam says of the family: 7SK was discovered as an abundant small nuclear RNA in the mid-70s but a possible function has only recently been suggested. Two independent studies have found that 7SK RNA binds the CDK9/cyclin T complex (known as elongation factor P-TEFb). P-TEFb activates transcription by phosphorylating the C-terminal domain of RNA polymerase II. The record is from RNAcentral. Lineage: Eukaryota; Metazoa; Chordata; Mammalia; Eulipotyphla; Erinaceidae.
GGAUGUGAAGGCAAUCUGGCUGCAACAUCUGUCACCCCAUUGAUCACCAGGAUUGAUCCGGCUAAUCUGGCUGGUUAUACAGGUGUCCCCUUCCUCCCUUACUGUCCCAUGUGUGUCUCUGCCUCAAGUUGUGUGCUUGGUCGAAGGGAAUAACCUUCCCCAAAUAGAGAGAGAUCAGUCUUUGGUGGUGGUGGGGGGGUAUCUGAGCAGCUGCACUACCCUGCUAGAACCUCCAAACAAGUUCUCAAGAUCCAUAAAAGGACUCUUAAAACUCAGUAAUAGUAACUGAAAGAAAAGGGUCAGGCAGUGGUCUGGGAGGUGGUGCAGUGAUAAAGUUUUGGACUUGCAGGCAAGAGGUCCCAAGUUU